GAUGAACGCUGGCGGCGUGCCUAAUACAUGCAAGUAGAACGCUGAAGGAGGAGCUUGCUCUUCUGGAUGAGUCGCGAACGGGUGAGUAACGCGUAGGUAACCUGCCUGGUAGCGGGGGACAACUAUUGGAAACGAUAGCUAAUACCGCAUGACAACAGUUAUUGCAUGAUAACUGUCUAAAAGGGGCAACUGCUCCACUACCAGAUGGACCUGCCUUGUAUUAGCUAGUGGGGGAGGUAACGGCUCACCAAGGCGACGAUACAUAGCCGACCUGGGAGAGGGAGCGGCGUCACAGGGGAAGUGAGACGGCGCACAGUCCUACGGGGGGCGGCGGUGGGGAAACUUCGGGAAUGGGCGGGAGUCUGAGCGAGAGACGCGGCGUGAGUGAGGAAGGGGUUCGGGUAGUGAAGCGCGGUUGUAGGAGAAGGACGGGUGUGAGAGUGGAAAGUUCACUCUGUGACGGUAUCUUACCAGAAAGGGACGGCUAACUACGUG
This 495-nucleotide ribosomal RNA is filed under the name uncultured bacterium. RNAcentral describes it as "partial 16S ribosomal RNA". It matches the Rfam family "Bacterial small subunit ribosomal RNA", at positions 28 to 507 of the family's 1533-position model. The record is from RNAcentral.